RNAcentral lists this ribosomal RNA (440 nucleotides) under uncultured bacterium. Its description in RNAcentral is "partial 16S ribosomal RNA". It matches the Rfam family "Bacterial small subunit ribosomal RNA", at positions 338 to 795 of the family's 1533-position model. The record is from RNAcentral.
CCUACGGGUGGCUGCAGUGGGGAAUAUUGCACAAUGGGGGAAACCCUGAUGCAGCGACGCCGCGUGAGUGAAGAAGUAAUUCGUUACGUAAAGCUCUAUCAGCAGGGAAGAAAAUGAUGGUACCUGAGUAAGAAGCCCCCGCUAACUACGUGCCAGCAGCCGCGGUAAUAAGUCGGGGGCAAGCGUUAUCCGGAUUUAUUGGGUGGAAAGGGAGAGUAGAAGGUGGGCGAAGGCUGGAGUGAAAUGCCGCAGCUUAACUGCGGGACUGCAUAGGAAACUGGCGAACUAGAGUGCGGGAGGGGUAAGCGGAAUUCCUAGUGUAGCGGUGAAAUGCGUAGAUAUUAGGAAGAACACCGGUGGCGAAGGCGGCUUACUGGACCGUAACUGACGUUGAGGCUCGAAAGCGUGGGGAGCAAACAGGAUUAGAUACCCUGGUAGUC